GUGCUCCCUUCAGCAGCACAUAUACUAAAAAUGGAACAAUGCAGAGAAGAUCAGCAUGGCCCCUGCGCAAGGAUGGUGCCUCUGGAGUGGCUCCAAAAACUGCU
Small nuclear RNA from Python bivittatus (Burmese python), 104 nucleotides. NCBI's taxonomy places the organism in Eukaryota, Metazoa, Chordata, Lepidosauria, Squamata, Pythonidae. The record is from RefSeq and is a predicted model, not a curated record.